GCUUACGGCCAUACCAGCCUGGGUACGCCCGAUCUCGUCUGAUCUCGUAAGCUAAGCAGGGUCGGGCCUGGUUAGUACUUGGAUGGGAGACCGCCUGGGAGUACCAGGUGCUGUAAGCA
RNAcentral lists this ribosomal RNA (119 nucleotides) under Salmo salar (Atlantic salmon). Lineage: Eukaryota; Metazoa; Chordata; Actinopteri; Salmoniformes; Salmonidae. The record is from RNAcentral.